UCUGUCCCUCUUGGCUGCCAGC
This 22-nucleotide microRNA is filed under the name Macaca mulatta (Rhesus monkey). RNAcentral describes it as "mml-miR-3577-3p". Lineage: Eukaryota; Metazoa; Chordata; Mammalia; Primates; Cercopithecidae. The record is from miRBase by way of RNAcentral.